GGGAAAAGCAACAGCAGCUCAGUCAGAUUCCAGAAGCUAUCUGGAAAGAAGAAGUUAAAUUAAUACUUCAAAUGGGGAAAACAAAUGUGAGAAACAGAUGCAAGAAACUGGCAGAGAAGCACCAGAGGAUUUAACCAACCUGGUCAUGAAGGCCUCAGGAUC
This 162-nucleotide long non-coding RNA is filed under the name Cavia porcellus (domestic guinea pig). RNAcentral's name for it is "lncRNA (ENSCPOG00000039547.1)". Lineage: Eukaryota; Metazoa; Chordata; Mammalia; Rodentia; Caviidae. The record is from RNAcentral.